UAACAUCCUGGCCUUUUGAUGCACCU
RNAcentral lists this non-coding RNA (26 nucleotides) under Mus musculus (house mouse). Lineage: Eukaryota; Metazoa; Chordata; Mammalia; Rodentia; Muridae. The record is from RNAcentral.